GGUGAACGCUGGCGGUAGGCCUAACACAUGCAAGUCGAACGGCAGCACAGUAAGAGCUUGCUCUUACGGGUGGCGAGUGGCGGACGGGUGAGGAAUACAUCGGAAUCUACUUUUUCGUGGGGGAUAACGUAGGGAAGCUUACGCUAAUACCGCAUACGACCUACGGGUGAAAGCAGGGGAUCUUCGGACCUUGCGCGAUUGAAUGAGCCGAUGUCGGAUUAGCUAGUUGGCGGGGUAAAGGCCCACCAAGGCGACGAUCCGCAGCUGGUCUGAGAGGAUGAUCAGCCACACUGGAACUGAGACACGGUCCAGACUCCUACGGGAGGCAGCAGUGGGGAAUAUUGGACAAUGGGCGCAAGCCUGAUCCAGCCAUACCGCGUGGGUGAAGAAGGCCUUCGGGUUGUAAAGCCCUUUUGUUGGGAAAGAAAAGCAGCAGGUUAAUACCCCGCUGUUCUGACGGUACCCAAAGAAUAAGCACCGGCUAACUUCGUG
RNAcentral lists this ribosomal RNA (492 nucleotides) under uncultured bacterium. RNAcentral describes it as "partial 16S ribosomal RNA". It matches the Rfam family "Bacterial small subunit ribosomal RNA", at positions 28 to 507 of the family's 1533-position model. The record is from RNAcentral.